Molecule: long non-coding RNA, 573 nt
Organism: Oncorhynchus keta (chum salmon)
Lineage: Eukaryota; Metazoa; Chordata; Actinopteri; Salmoniformes; Salmonidae
Exons: 3
Source: RefSeq, a predicted model, not a curated record
UGAUAAUGCACAGUAAAGGUUGAUACAAUCAUUACAAUGUACAGGGUAUUAUACUGAGAAUUCUACUGAUAAUGCACAGUAAAGGUUGAUACAAUCAUUACAAUGUACAGGGUAUUAUAGUGAGAAUUCUACUGAUAAUGCACAGUAAAGGUUGAUACAAUCAUUACAAUGUACAGGGUAUUAUUCUGAGAAUUCUACUGAUAAUGCACAGUAAAGGUUGAUACAAUCAUUACAAUGUACAGGGUAUUAUUCUGAGAAUUCUACUGAUAAUGCACAGUAAAGGUUGAUACAAUCAUUUGUUUCAGAGGAGUUGAGGGAUCCAUUUCUUCAUAACUUCCAUAAUGCAUUUGACCAACGCCAUCUACAAAUGGUUUGUAAGCAGACAGUAAAUUGUAUUUACAUAUAUUAUACCUAAUUUAUAAAUAUACUAAGAAAUUAUACAUUACUAAGAAAUGAAUAGCUGAAAUAUUUACUUAGUCAGCUGUUUAUAAAAAUCUAAUAACAGUUAUUGACUAUCCUAAUAUUCUGCCAAAAACGUGAUAACUAAGGUCAGUAGGCCUAUUUGAAGAUGAG